CACUGUUUCGGCAAGGGGGUCAUCCCGACUUACCAACCCGAUGCAAACUGCGAAUACCGGAGAAUGUUAUCACGGGAGACACACGGCGGGUGCUAACGUCCGUCGUGAAGAGGGAAACAACCCAGACCGCCAGCUAAGGUCCCAAAGUCAUGGUUAAGUGGGAAACGAUGUGGGAAGGCCCAGACAGCCAGGAUGUUGGCUUAGAAGCAGCCAUCAUUUAAAGAAAGCGUAAUAGCUCACUGGUCGAGUCGGCCUGCGCGGAAGAUGUAACGGGGCUAAACCAUGCACCGAAGCUGCGGCAGCGACGCUGAUGCGUUGUUGGGUAGGGGAGCGUUCUGUAAGCCUGUGAAGGUGUGCUGUGAGGCAUGCUGGAGGUAUCAGAAGUGCGAAUGCUGACAUAAGUAACGAUAAAGCGGGUGAAAAGCCCGCUCGCCGGAAGACCAAGGGUUCCUGUCCAACGUUAAUCGGGGCAGGGUGAGUCGACCCCUAAGGCGAGGCCGAAAGGCGUAGUCGAUGGGAAACAGGUUAAUAUUCCUGUACUUGGUGUUACUGCGAAGGGGGGACGGAGAAGGCUAUGUUGGCCGGGCGACGGUUGUCCCGGUUUAAGCGUGUAGGCUGGUUUUCCAGGCAAAUCCGGAAAAUCAAGGCUGAGGCGUGAUGACGAGGCACUACGGUGCUGAAGCAACAAAUGCCCUGCUUCCAGGAAAAGCCUCUAAGCAUCAGGUAACAUCAAAUCGUACCCCAAACCGACACAGGUGGUCAGGUAGAGAAUACCAAGGCGCUUGAGAGAACUCGGGUGAAGGAACUAGGCAAAAUGGUGCCGUAACUUCGGGAGAAGGCACGCUGAUAUGUAGGUGAAGUCCCUCGCGGAUGGAGCUGAAAUCAGUCGAAGAUACCAGCUGGCUGCAACUGUUUAUUAAAAACACAGCACUGUGCAAACACGAAAGUGGACGUAUACGGUGUGACGCCUGCCCGGUGCCGGAAGGUUAAUUGAUGGGGUCAGCGCAAGCGAAGCUCUUGAUCGAAGCCCCGGUAAACGGCGGCCGUAACUAUAACGGUCCUAAGGUAGCGAAAUUCCUUGUCGGGUAAGUUCCGACCUGCACGAAUGGCGUAAUGAUGGCCAGGCUGUCUCCACCCGAGACUCAGUGAAAUUGAACUCGCUGUGAAGAUGCAGUGUACCCGCGGCAAGACGGAAAGACCCCGUGAACCUUUACUAUAGCUUGACACUGAACAUUGAGCCUUGAUGUGUAGGAUAGGUGGGAGGCUUUGAAGUGUGGACGCCAGUCUGCAUGGAGCCGGCCUUGAAAUACCACCCUUUAAUGUUUGAUGUUCUAACGUUGACCCGUGAUCCGGGUUGCGGACAGUGUCUGGUGGGUAGUUUGACUGGGGCGGUCUCCUCCUAAAGAGUAACGGAGGAGCACGAAGGUUGGCUAAUCCUGGUCGGACAUCAGGAGGUUAGUGCAAUGGCAUAAGCCAGCUUGACUGCGAGCGUGACGGCGCGAGCAGGUGCGAAAGCAGGUCAUAGUGAUCCGGUGGUUCUGAAUGGAAGGGCCAUCGCUCAACGGAUAA
RNAcentral lists this ribosomal RNA (1569 nucleotides) under Escherichia coli. RNAcentral describes it as "partial 23S ribosomal RNA". It matches the Rfam family "Bacterial large subunit ribosomal RNA", at positions 908 to 2459 of the family's 2925-position model. The record is from RNAcentral. Lineage: Bacteria; Pseudomonadati; Pseudomonadota; Gammaproteobacteria; Enterobacterales; Enterobacteriaceae.